AUCCAAACACCUUGAAAUACAGAAAGAAAAUAGAGAGAGUCUCAGGUGCCAAAAUGUGCUUAAAUAGGAGAAAUACCUUGUUUAAUAUACUAAGAAACGACAGAAUUAAGUAUGACCAGGACUCUCUUCUGGGAGUAUAUGAGAUACCGUUUGUAGACAACGAUUUAUACCAAAAUUUUAAGUAUAUAGUCUAUACGAAUAGGUCGCUAAAGAAGCAUUUAGAGGAACAUAAGAGAGAUGUUGAGAAAUCCACCUCCACCACAACAUUAGCGCAGAGGGCCCUGAUUAGUGAUUUGACAAUUAACUGGGAUGAAGCCAGACUAUUACAAAAGCAGAUAAAGGAAGGAUAGCAGAAGCCUUGGCAAUUUUCAAUAGUAGAGACUCUAGGCUGCAAAUUAUCAACAAAACAGAUCCCUCCACCAUCAAUAAUGCUUGGAAAUUGUGCUUAAGGAGAUCAGGAGCAUCAAGGCGAUAGUGUUAAGUUACUGUAUUACAAGAACAGAAGGAAUAACUUCAUGGACGAUUGAGAACAUCCAGCAUAAAUUUGGUCUUUAUUUUAAUUUGUUAGAUUAGGUUUUCUUCAUAUAAUGUAUAUGUUUAUGAUCUAUAGUAUGUAACCUUAUGUAUGUUAAUCUUUAUUCUAUUGGUGUAGUUUUUAUGUAUAUAAUUAUUAAGAAAUGUAUUAGCCUUAGAUAUCCAGCGGCACGUUAUGGCUUCAUAGGGGCCCGGGCAAAUCUGAAUUUGGGGA
This 748-nucleotide long non-coding RNA is filed under the name Androctonus crassicauda. Lineage: Eukaryota; Metazoa; Arthropoda; Arachnida; Scorpiones; Buthidae. The record is from RNAcentral.